UACGUAGGGGGCAAGCGUUGUCCGGAAUUAUUGGGCGUAAAGAGCGCGUAGGCGGUCCGAUAAGUCGGCUGUGAAAGUCAGGGGCUCAACCCUUGAAAGCCGGCCGAUACUGUCGGACUAGAGUCCGGAAGAGGCAAGUGGAAUUCCCGGUGUAGCGGUGAAAUGCGCAGAUAUCGGGAGGAACACCAAUGGCGAAGGCGACUACCUGGCCUGUUCUUGACGCUGAGGCGCGAAAGCUAGGGGAGCAAACGGG
RNAcentral lists this ribosomal RNA (253 nucleotides) under uncultured bacterium. RNAcentral describes it as "partial 16S ribosomal RNA". It matches the Rfam family "Bacterial small subunit ribosomal RNA", at positions 524 to 776 of the family's 1533-position model. The record is from RNAcentral.